UGGGAACGUGCCUUUUUGGUUCGGAACAACACAGGGAAACUUGUGCUAAUACCGGAUAAGCCCUUACGGGGAAAGAUUUAUCGCCAAAAGAUCGGCCCGCGUCCGAUUAGCUAGUUGGUGGGUAAUGGCCCACCAAGGCGACGAUCAGUAGCUGGUCUGAGAGGAUGAUCAGCCACAUUGGGACUGAGACACGGCCCAAACUCCGUACGGGAGGCAG
RNAcentral lists this ribosomal RNA (217 nucleotides) under uncultured bacterium. RNAcentral's name for it is "partial 16S ribosomal RNA". It matches the Rfam family "Bacterial small subunit ribosomal RNA", at positions 118 to 351 of the family's 1533-position model. The record is from RNAcentral.